Molecule: ribosomal RNA, 492 nt
Filed under: uncultured bacterium
Lineage: Bacteria
Description: partial 16S ribosomal RNA
Rfam family: Bacterial small subunit ribosomal RNA
Source: RNAcentral
AUUGAACGCUGGCGGCAUGCUUUACACAUGCAAGUCGAGCGGUAACAGGCCUUCGGGUGCUGACGAGUGGCGCACGGGUGAGUAAUGCAUCGGAACGCACCCAGAGGUGGGGGAUAACGCAGCGAAAGCUGUGCUAAUACCGCAUGUGAUCUGAGGAUGAAAGCGGGGGACCGAGCAGCAAUGUUUGGCCUCGCGCCUUUGGAGCGGCCGAUGUCGGAUUAGCUAGUUGGUGGGGUAAAGGCCUACCAAGGCGACGAUCCGUAGCUGGUCUGAGAGGACGACUAGCCACACUGGGACUGAGACACGGCCCAGACUCCUACGGGAGGCAGCAGUGGGGAAUUUUGGACAAUGGGCGCAAGCCUGAUCCAGCAAUGCCGCGUGCGGGAAGAAGGCCUUCGGGUUGUAAACCGCUUUUGGCAGGAACGAAACGGUGUCCGCUAAUACCGGGCGCUAAUGACGGUACCUGCAGAAUAAGCACCGGCUAACUACGUG